This 138-nucleotide ribosomal RNA is filed under the name Castanediella sp. RNAcentral describes it as "partial large subunit ribosomal RNA". Lineage: Eukaryota; Fungi; Ascomycota; Sordariomycetes; Amphisphaeriales; Castanediellaceae. The record is from RNAcentral.
AAGCGUUUAUGACCAGACUUUUUCCUAGUGGAUCAUCCGGUGUUCUCACCGGUGCACUUCGCUAGGUUUAGGCCAGCAUCGGUUUCCGUAGGGGGAUAAAAGCUUUAGGAAUGUGGCUCUUCGGAGUGUUAUAGCCUA